AAAGAUUUAGUUUAACAAAAACAUAAAAUUGUCAAUUUUAAAAAACUAAUUUAUAGUAAUCUUUU
RNAcentral lists this transfer RNA (65 nucleotides) under Empoascanara angkhangica. Its description in RNAcentral is "tRNA-Asp". Lineage: Eukaryota; Metazoa; Arthropoda; Insecta; Hemiptera; Cicadellidae. The record is from RNAcentral.